Molecule: transfer RNA, 72 nt
Filed under: Ophioleila elegans
Lineage: Eukaryota; Metazoa; Echinodermata; Ophiuroidea; Amphilepidida; Hemieuryalidae
Description: tRNA-Asn
Rfam family: tRNA
About the family: Transfer RNA (tRNA) molecules are approximately 80 nucleotides in length. Their secondary structure includes four short double-helical elements and three loops (D, anti-codon, and T loops).
Source: RNAcentral
UAGGUUGAAGUUUAAUGCCAGAGCAUCUAGCCGUUAACUAGAAAGAAGUGGGAUUAAUACCCAUCGACCUAA